This 371-nucleotide long non-coding RNA is filed under the name Homo sapiens (human). RNAcentral describes it as "HSALNT0349508". The record is from RNAcentral. Lineage: Eukaryota; Metazoa; Chordata; Mammalia; Primates; Hominidae.
AGCUUUGGGAGAAGAGGGGUCUCUGGCGGCGGCUUGGGGAGGAGCUAGGUUUGGGCUUGGAGUUGGGCCCUGAAUGGCGCUUUGCUGUGAAUCUCCGCGGGGAGGCUCUUCCAACCAGGGGCUGAGCUUCUGCGCUGUGGAGAAGCCAGGCUCCUGAUGUCUUAUUGGGGGCCAUAUCUAGAGUGAUGCCCUAGUUCGCGUGGCUGAAGAUGGCUUGCCACCCUACCUGCUGAUUGCAUUCUGACUGAACAGCGCGACACAAAUCACUCUGUGGAUAAGAAUCACCAGGAGACUUCCUGAAAGAAAUCCAAGUUUCCAGGCCUUAUCUCAGACGCAUGAAAUCAGGAUCUUUAGAGGAGGCACCUGAAGCU